UUUAGACAAACAAGUAUCAGCAGUUACAGCGCGAUAGGGCGGGACUAUGCUUUGGAUGAUGUUCGGAGAAAAGACGCAAAAAUUGGCUCUCAGAUUGAAUGAACUGAAUGAAUAUACAGGUUAUGGUUUGCCCUCGUUUCUUGGACGGAGGGACCAAUGCAGUGAGCACUGUGUCAACCAGCUGGAUAACUGACUCUGACCCAACAGAAACAUCAUCGCAGUCCUUCUAAAGUUAUCUGGCAAGGUGAAACUGGGGAAGGAAGGCACCAUCACUGUCUCAGCCCAUUGUUGGAAGACUGCAAAAGCACAAGCUACAGCCAGUGGGACGGCACGAGUGCUACUGAUGGAACUCUUUAAUGUUGAUGUUUUUCUGAACUUUAAGCAUACCUUUAUCUGUUUUUGUAUUAUACAUAUAGUAGUAUAUGGUAGUAUAUAUUCUUGAAUUUAUAGUGAAGUGUAUUGUUAAAUAUAUAAUAAAAUAAAUUGUGAUGUGUGGUAAUAGAUGGUAUGUGUAUUAUUGAUAGUAAUAUAUUAAAAUAUAUUCUUGAAUACAUAGUGAAGUGUAUUGUUCAAAAUAUAAAGUACAAUAUAUAGUACACUGCAAAAUAUGUGGUAAUAAAUGGUACAUAAUAAUUGAUAAAUCAUGUUCAUAUGUUGCCAUUGCUGUUACAGUUACCAUUUUAGCUAUAUUGGUAUCUGCACAUUCGACCAGUCAGUCAGUCAAUCUACAUUUUAAAUUUAACAGUUGAGAGUCUUAAACCAACAGAAAAUAAAACUGCUUGAAUUCAAAAGAGAAUAAAUGUGCUAAAAUGUG
This is a long non-coding RNA of Astyanax mexicanus (Mexican tetra), 814 nucleotides long. RefSeq lists it as uncharacterized. The transcript has 2 exons. NCBI's taxonomy places the organism in Eukaryota, Metazoa, Chordata, Actinopteri, Characiformes, Acestrorhamphidae. The record is from RefSeq and is a predicted model, not a curated record.